This is a long non-coding RNA of Medicago truncatula (barrel medic), 476 nucleotides long. RefSeq lists it as uncharacterized. The record is from RefSeq and is a predicted model, not a curated record. Lineage: Eukaryota; Viridiplantae; Streptophyta; Magnoliopsida; Fabales; Fabaceae. The transcript has 3 exons.
UGGUUAAGGAACUUGAAACUGCACAGUUGACAUUGUUUUAUAAUGGAGAAGUUAUUGUGUUGGAUGAUUUUCCUGCUGAGAAAGUUGAAGAGCUAAAGUCAUUUGCAAGCACUCUCAAACUCGGCCUUCAGUUAUUCCUGAUAGGGUCCUUCAACCACCUCCUCCCACACUAACUAAUAUGGUGAUUGCUAGAAAAGCUUCACUUCUUCGAUUCAUGGAGAAAAGGAAUGUCAGAGUUUCUGCCAAAUCACCAUAUCAAAGAAGUGAUUUCGACUCUGCUCCAAAAAAAACCUACUGAAUCCACUCAAUGACUUGUUUUAGGUGCUAAAUCAACGUAAAUAUCAGUAAAUAUGAGAGCAAUUGCAGUUUUAAGUAGUUUAACCUUUUUUUGUUUAUAUUACAACUUGUGCAGUGCCAAGGCUAUAAUAGAUCUAUCCUAGGUCUAUUAGCUUAGGGGUGUAAUUAUGAUUUGAAAU